RNAcentral lists this long non-coding RNA (394 nucleotides) under Papio anubis (olive baboon). Its description in RNAcentral is "lncRNA (ENSPANG00000050260.1)". The record is from RNAcentral. Lineage: Eukaryota; Metazoa; Chordata; Mammalia; Primates; Cercopithecidae.
AUGAAGGUUUCAAGAGAAUCAGCCCCCGGUGGGCUGCUGUCUCUGCAUGGCUUAGAGGGGUGGGACAAGGAACAUCACCUGACCCAAACUAGGGCUGAGCAUGUUUCCCCAGCUGGAGGAGAGGGUUUCCAGGAAGAGCCUGUCCCAAGGAAGAAUUUUUUUGCUUCAGCCUGGCAUGACCUACCACAGAGAAAUCAACACAGAGGACUUCUGGGAUCAAAUGUGGGGGUUUCUCCCCAUCAGCAAGUAAGCAAUCAGUUGUGCAGUGAACACCAGCUGGGCAUCCUCCAAUCCAAUUCACUUCUGAUGCUAUCUACCUGGAGAGAGUGUCAGCCCCUACUCUUGAUGCCAAUCACAGGCCCCAGGUUGUUUUAACCUGUGCUUGACUGACCAG